CAGUAGCCGCGGGAAUACAGAGGGUGCAAGCGUUAAUCGGAAUUACUGGGCGUAAAGCGCGCGUAGGUGGUUUGUUAAGUUGGAUGUGAAAUCCCCGGGCUCAACCUGGGAACUGCAUCCAAAACUGGCAAGCUAGAGUAUGGUAGAGGGUGGUGGAAUUUCCUGUGUAGCGGUGAAAUGCGUAGAUAUAGGAAGGAACACCAGUGGCGAAGGCGACCACCUGGACUGAUACUGACACUGAGGUGCGAAAGCAUGGGGAGCAAACAGGAUUAGAUACCCCUGUAGUCCCUGUCUCUUAUAC
Molecule: ribosomal RNA, 301 nt
Filed under: uncultured bacterium
Lineage: Bacteria
Description: partial 16S ribosomal RNA
Rfam family: Bacterial small subunit ribosomal RNA
Source: RNAcentral